CCUACGGGUGGCAGCAGUCGGGAAUAUUGCGCAAUGGGGGAAACUCUGAUGCAGCGACGCCGCGUGCAGGAGGAAGGUUUUCGGAUUGUAAACUUCUUUAGACAGGGAAUAGAAAAGACAGUACCUGAAGAAUAAGCCCCGGCUAACUACGUGCCAGCAGCCGCGGUAAUACGUAGGGGGCAAGCGUUAUCCGGAUUUAAUGGGUGUAAAGGGUGCGUAGACGGAAAAGCAAGUCAGCUGUGAAAGCCCAAGGCUUAACCAAGGGACUGCAUCUGAAACUACUUACCUAGAGUACUGGAGAGGAAAGAGGAAUUCCUAGUGUAGCGGUGAAAUGCGUAGAUAUUAGGAGGAACACCAGUGGCGAAGGCGACUUACUGGACAGAAACUGACGUUGAGGCACGAAAGUGUGGGGAGCAAACAGGAUUAGAUACCCCUGUAGUC
This 441-nucleotide ribosomal RNA is filed under the name uncultured bacterium. RNAcentral's name for it is "partial 16S ribosomal RNA". It matches the Rfam family "Bacterial small subunit ribosomal RNA", at positions 338 to 795 of the family's 1533-position model. The record is from RNAcentral.